This 465-nucleotide ribosomal RNA is filed under the name uncultured bacterium. RNAcentral describes it as "partial 16S ribosomal RNA". It matches the Rfam family "Bacterial small subunit ribosomal RNA", at positions 28 to 507 of the family's 1533-position model. The record is from RNAcentral.
GACGAACGCUGGCGGCGUGCUUAACACAUGCAAGUCGUACGGUAAGGCCCUUUCGGGGGUACACGAGUGGCGAACGGGUGAGUAACACGUGAGUAACCUGCCCACAACUUUGGGAUAACGCUAGGAAACUGGUGCUAAUACUGGAUAUGUGCUCCUGCUGCAUGGUGGGGGUUGGAAAGCUCCGGCGGUUGUGGAUGGACUCGCGGCCUAUCAGCUUGUUGGUGGGGUAGUGGCCUACCAAGGCGGCGACGGGUAGCCGGCCUGAGAGGGUGACCGGCCACAUUGGGACUGAGAUACGGCCCAGACUCCUACGGGAGGCAGCAGUGGGGAAGAUUGAACAAUGGGAGCAAGCCUGAUGCAGCAACGCCGCGGGCGGGAGGACGGCCUUCGGGUUGGAAACCGCUUUCAGCAGGGACGAAGCUUUUUGUGACGGUACCUGCAGAAGAAGCACCGGCUAACUACGUG